This 424-nucleotide ribosomal RNA is filed under the name uncultured bacterium. RNAcentral's name for it is "bacterial SSU rRNA". It matches the Rfam family "Bacterial small subunit ribosomal RNA", at positions 343 to 766 of the family's 1533-position model. The record is from RNAcentral.
GGGAGGCAGCAGUGAGGAAUAUUGGUCAAUGGGCGAGAGCCUGAACCAGCCAAGUAGCGUGAAGGAUGACUGCCUAUGGGUUGUAAACUUCUUUUAUAAAGGAAUAAGUCGGGUAUGGAUACCCGUUUGCAUGUACUUUAUGAAUAAGGAUCGGCUAACUCCGUGCCAGCAGCCGCGGUAAUACGGAGGAUCCGAGCGUUAUCCGGAUUUAUUGGGUUUAAAGGGAGCGUAGAUGGAUGUUUAAGUCAGUUGUGAAAGUUUGCGGCUCAACCGUAAAAUUGCAGUUGAUACUGGAUAUCUUGAGUGCAGUUGAGGCAGGCGGAAUUCGUGGUGUAGCGGUGAAAUGCUUAGAUAUCACGAAGAACUCCGAUUGCGAAGGCAGCCUGCUAAGCUGCAACUGACAUUGAGGCUCGAAAGUGUGGGU